ACUGACGCUAAAGCUCGAAGGUGCGGGUAUCGAACAGGAUUAGAUACCCUGGUAGUCCGCACGGUAAACGAUGGAUGCCCGCUGUUUGCGAUAUACUGUGAGCGGCCAAGAGAAAUCGUUAAGCAUCCCACCUGGGGAGUACGCCGGCAACGGUGAAACUCAAAGGAAUUGACGGGGGCCCGCACAAGCGGAGGAACAUGUGGUUUAAUUCGAUGAUACGCGAGGAACCUUACCCGGGCUUGAACUGCAGCGGAAGGAUACAGAGAUGUUGACGUCCUUCGGGACCGCUGUGGAGGUGCUGCAUGGUUGUCGUCAGCUCGUGCCGUGAGGUGUCGGCUUAAGUGCCAUAACGAGCGCAACCCCUUUCAUUAGUUGCCAUCACUUCGGGUGGGCACUCUGGUGAUACUGCCACCGUAAGGUGUGAGGAAGGUGGGGAUGACGUCAAAUCAGCACGGCCCUUACGUCCGGGGCUACACACGUGUUACAAUGGGUGAUACAGAUGGCCGGUUCACGGCAACGUGGAUCAAAUCUUGAAAGUCAUCCUCAGUUCGGAUUGGGGUCUGCAACCCGACCCCAUGAAGCUGGAUUCGCUAGUAAUCGC
Molecule: ribosomal RNA, 601 nt
Filed under: uncultured bacterium
Lineage: Bacteria
Description: bacterial SSU rRNA
Rfam family: Bacterial small subunit ribosomal RNA
Source: RNAcentral